AUCUUGCGCAAUGGGCGAAAGCCUGACGCAGCCAUGCCGCGUGAAUGAUGAAGGUNUUNNGAUUGNANAAUUCUUUCACCGGGNNNNNUAAUGACGGUAACCGGAGAAGAAGCCCCGGCUAACUUCGUGCCAGCAGCCGCGGUAAUACGAAGGGGGCUAGCGUUGCUCGGAAUUACUGGGCGUAAAGGGCGCGUAGGCGGAUCGUUAAGUCAGAGGUGAAAUCCCAGGGCUCAACCCUGGAACUGCCUUUGAUACUGGCGAUCUUGAGUAUGAGAGAGGUAUGUGGAACUCCGAGUGUAGAGGUGAAAUUCGUAGAUAUUCGGAAGAACACCAGUGGCGAAGGCGACAUACUGGCUCAUUACUGACGCUGAGGCGCGAAAGCGUGGGGAGCAAACAG
RNAcentral lists this ribosomal RNA (397 nucleotides) under uncultured bacterium. RNAcentral describes it as "partial 16S ribosomal RNA". It matches the Rfam family "Bacterial small subunit ribosomal RNA", at positions 361 to 775 of the family's 1533-position model. The record is from RNAcentral.